This 988-nucleotide ribosomal RNA is filed under the name Janus megamaculatus. RNAcentral describes it as "12S ribosomal RNA". The record is from RNAcentral. Lineage: Eukaryota; Metazoa; Arthropoda; Insecta; Hymenoptera; Cephidae.
AUUAAAAAAAAAAUUGUAUACUAUAUUACUAGUAAUAAUUUUUACAUAUUGGGUUUCUAAAUUUUAAUAGGAAAGUUUAUAUUUUUAUAAAAUAAAAAGUUUAGUUCUGACUUUGAAGUUUAUUGUUAGUUUUAUUUAAUAUAUAAAGUCUUAUUAUUUAAUAAAUUUUAAAUAGAUUUAUUACUAAGUAAUUAAUGUAGUAUAUAGUAUUAAAUAUAUAAAAAAAUAAUUUUUGUAUUAGAAUAUACUAUUAAAAUGGAAAAAAUUUGUGCCAGCAUUCGCGGUUAGACAAAUUAAUUUGAGUAAAUUUUUUAAAUUAUAAAAUUAUCAAUUGUUGUAAAUUUAUUUUAUUUAAUAAAAGUAAAUUAAGGUGAAAUUUUAUUAUUUUUUAAGUAAAAUAAAUUUAAAAUGAAUUUAUGGUAUUUUUUGAAAGUUGUGGAUAAACUAGGAUUAGAUACCCUAUUAUUUUAACUGUAAAUUUAUUUUGUUUAUUUUUAUUGUGGUGUAAUUUUAAUUUUUAACAUAGAGGUGUUAGGUAGUACUAGUUAUGAUCUUGAAACUUUAAGAAUUUGACGGUAAUUCAUUCAUUUUAGAGGAACUUGUUUUUUAAUUGAUGGUCCACGAUAAGAUUUACCUAUUUUUUAUGUUUGUAUACCGUCGUUUAAAAAAAAUUUUUAAAGAAGCAUUAAUUUUUGUAAUAUUAGUAGAUAUUUAGAUUGAUUUAUUGGUUUAUAUUUUUAUAAGUAUUAAUUCAGAUCAAGGUGCAGCUUUUAUUUAGGUUAAAAUGAGUUACAAUAAAUUUAGUUUAUUACGGAGUUAAUAAUUUAAUUUAUUAAUAAAGGAGGAUUUAAAAGUAAAUUUAAUAUAAUUAUUUAAGUUGAAAAUUGUUUUGAGUUAUGUACAUAUCGCCCGUCGCUCUCAUUACAAAAUGAGAUAAGUCGUAACAAAGUAAAAGUACUGGAAAGUGUUUUUAGAAUUAAAAUAUUUU